GACGAAGGGGGCUAGCGUUGUUCGGAAUUACUGGGCGUAAAGAGCGCGUAGGCGGUUUGGUAAGUUGGAAGUGAAAGCCCGGGGCUUAACCUCGGAAUAGCUUUCAAAACUGCCAGGCUAGAGUGUAGUAGGGGAUGAUGGAAUUCCUAGUGUAGAGGUGAAAUUCUUAGAUAUUAGGAGGAACACCGGUGGCGAAGGCGGUCAUCUGGGCUACAACUGACGCUGAGGCGCGAAAGCGUGGGGAGCAAACAGG
Molecule: ribosomal RNA, 253 nt
Filed under: uncultured bacterium
Lineage: Bacteria
Description: partial 16S ribosomal RNA
Rfam family: Bacterial small subunit ribosomal RNA
Source: RNAcentral